AUAUUUAUUUUUAAAAUAAUUAUUUUAUAAUAGUAAGAAUAAUUUAUUUAAAUAUUUUUUUACAUGUAAAUAUUCAUUUGAUAUUAAAAAAUUUUUAAUAAUUUUUAUUUAUUAUAUUCGCAGUAAUUAAUAUUAUAAAUUUUUUUAUAAAUGAUUUAGAAAUUAUUAUUUAAAAUUGGUAAAAUUUGUGCCAGCAAUCGCGGUUAUACAAAUAAUUUAAUUAAAUUUAUUUAGUAAUAGUAAAAUAAAAUAAAUUAUUAUAAAUAAAUAAAACUUAAAUUUUAUAGGUGAAAUUUUAAAAUUUAAAUUAUUUUUAUUAAAUUUAUUUUUAGCUAAUAAGUUUUAAAUAUAAACUAGGAUUAGAUACCCUAUUAUUUAAAAAGUUAAAAUAAAAAUAUUAAAGUAGUAAUAGUUAAAUGCUUAAAACUUAAAUAAUUUGGCGGUAUUUUAGUCUAUUUAGAGGAAUUUGUUUAAUAAAUGAUAACCCACAAUUUACCUAACUUAAAUUUUUGAAAUUUGUAUAUCGUUGUCGUAAGAAUAUUUUAUUAGAAUAAAAAUUUUCUUAAUUUUUAAUUUAUAAAUAAGUCAAAUCAAGGUGCAGUUUAUAUUUAAGUUUAAAAUGAAUUACAAUAAAUAUUAAUUAUUUUGAAUAAUUUAUUAAAAUAUAAGUUUGAAAUAGGAUUUAAUAGUAAAAAUAUUUUAGAAAAAUAUUUUGGUUUUAGCUCUAAAAUAUGCACACAUUGCCCGUCGCUCUCAUUAAUUUAUUAAAAUGAGAUAAGUCGUAACAUAGUAGAUAUACUGGAAAGUGUUUCUAGAAAUA
RNAcentral lists this non-coding RNA (820 nucleotides) under Rheocricotopus villiculus. The record is from RNAcentral. Lineage: Eukaryota; Metazoa; Arthropoda; Insecta; Diptera; Chironomidae.